This 57-nucleotide transfer RNA is filed under the name Loxosceles aff. spinulosa GJB-2008. RNAcentral describes it as "tRNA-Leu". The record is from RNAcentral. Lineage: Eukaryota; Metazoa; Arthropoda; Arachnida; Araneae; Sicariidae.
UAAUUUUUCCUUUUAGCAAAACAAAAUGCACUAGUAUUAGAAACUAACAAUCCCCUA